UAAUGCAUGAGAAGCUGCCAUUGGGAGGGGGACAACAGUUGGAAACGGCUGCUAAUACCCCGUAUGCCGAAAGGUAAAAGGGAGCAAUCCGCCUGAUGAGGUGCUCAUGUCCUAUCAGCUGGUUGGUGGGGUAACGGCCUACCAAGGCGACGACGGGUAGCCGGCCUGAGAGGGUGAACGGCCACACUGGAACUGAGAUACGGUCCAGACUCCUACGGGAGGCAGCAGUGGGGAAUAUUGGGCAAUGGGGGAAACCCUGACCCAGCGACGCCGCGUGAGGGAAGACGGCCUUCGGGUUGUAAACCUCUUUUGUAUGGGAAGAAGGAUGUGACGGUACCAUACGAAUAAGUCCCGGCUAACUACGUGCCAGCAGCCGCGGUAAUACGUAGGGGACGAGCGUUGUCCGGAAUUACUGGGCGUAAAGGGCGCGCAGGCGGUUUGUCAAGUCAGCUGUUAAAAAUGGGGGCUUAACCCUCAUAUGCUGUUGAAACUGGCAGACUGGAGUGCUGUAGAGGCAAGUGGAAUUCCCAGUGUAGCGGUGAAAUGCGUAGAUAUUGGGAAGAACACCGGUGGCGAAGGCGACUUGCUGGGCAGCAACUGACGCUGAGGCGCGAAAGCCAGGGGAGCAAACGGGAUUAGAUACCCCGGUAGUCCUGGCCGUAAACGAUGAAUGCUAGGUGUGGGUGUAGAGAUACAUCCGUGCCGGAGCUAACGCGAUAAGCAUUCCGCCUGGGGAGUACGGUCGCAAGAUUGAAACUCAAAGGAAUUGACGGGGGCCCGCACAAGCGGUGGAGCAC
This 797-nucleotide ribosomal RNA is filed under the name uncultured bacterium. RNAcentral's name for it is "bacterial SSU rRNA". It matches the Rfam family "Bacterial small subunit ribosomal RNA", at positions 111 to 940 of the family's 1533-position model. The record is from RNAcentral.